Molecule: ribosomal RNA, 497 nt
Filed under: uncultured bacterium
Lineage: Bacteria
Description: partial 16S ribosomal RNA
Rfam family: Bacterial small subunit ribosomal RNA
Source: RNAcentral
GAUGAACGCUGGCGGCGUGCCUAAUACAUGCAAGUCGAGCGAACAGACGAGGAGCUUGCUCCUCUGACGUUAGCGGCGGACGGGUGAGUAACACGUGGAUAACCUACCUAUAAGACUGGGAUAACUUCGGGAAACCGGAGCUAAUACCGGAUAAUAUAUUGAACCGCAUGGUUCAAUAGUGAAAGACGGUUUUGCCGCCACUUAUAGAUGGAUCCGCGCCGCAUUAGCUAGUUGGUAAGGUAACGGCUUACCAAGGCAACGAUGCGUAGCCGACCUGAGAGGGUGAUCGGCCACACUGGAACUGAGACACGGUCCAGACUCCUACGGGAGGCAGCAGUAGGGAAUCUUCCGCAAUGGGCGAAAGCCUGACGGAGCAACGCCGCGUGAGUGAUGAAGGUCUUCGGAUCGUAAAACUCUGUUAUUAGGGAAGAACAAAUGUGUAAGUAACUAUGCACGUCUUGACGGUACCUAAUCAGAAAGCCACGGCUAACUACGUG